Triticum aestivum (bread wheat) is the source of this 120-nucleotide non-coding RNA. Lineage: Eukaryota; Viridiplantae; Streptophyta; Magnoliopsida; Poales; Poaceae. The record is from Rfam.
AAAGUACUCCCUCCGUCCCAAAAUUCUUGUCUUAGAUUUGUCUAGAUACGGAUGUAGUAUUAGAGACAUCCGUAUCUAGACAAAUCUAAGACAAGAAAUUUGGGACAGAGGGAGUAGUUG